Long non-coding RNA from Cataglyphis hispanica, 841 nucleotides. RefSeq lists it as uncharacterized. Lineage: Eukaryota; Metazoa; Arthropoda; Insecta; Hymenoptera; Formicidae. The record is from RefSeq and is a predicted model, not a curated record. The transcript is spliced from 5 exons.
CGUUCAAACACAUCGCAGCAGAUCGCAAAAUCCCGCUCGAAUCGUACUUUGCUAUUUUUAUUGUCUAAAAGUGAGUCUCGUGCGUUUAGAAAUGUCUCAUGUUCAUUAUUGUCAGUGUCAUAAUGUAAACCUCGCGUAUAAUUCGUCGUUAUAAAUAAGUGCCGCGAUUUCGGUUAAUCUCUGGGAAUCGGAAACCUCUCGCUCUUGCACAUAUUUUGCGUUGUGCAACAAGAAUGCGCCACAUUAAUGAAUGAUCGUAAUCAGGAGAAAACGCUUAGGCGUCGAGCAUGAGCAUCGUCCCUGGUUUUCCCUCUCUAAUACUUGCCUGGUGUUCUUAAUUAGGGGGAUCUGCGUUAGAAGGACGGGAGCUUUUCGAGACGCCCGUUAUUGCCUCGUUAAAGGGAAUUGGACGGAAUGCAAACUUCUACGCCUUUCAUAUAAGCUGUAUGUAUAUUUCCUCAUUAUUUCGUGUGACGCCGCUUGGAGGUGCACAAUUAUCGAUUAACGAGAUACACCUAUGUGCGAGAGACAUACGCUACGUUUGUGAAACAGAUUAAGCUGACGUGCAGUCUAGCGUGAUAAAUAAUAAAGAGGAGAGAAUAAUGGCGAUAAUGCAGCUCGUAUGUACAUUACUGGACACGGUGAUGUUACUCUUAAACCAAGCAAAUUACAUUUUACAAGUUUGCGAGUUCGGACGCGUCUCGAAUUUAAGCCGGUGAUAACAAAUUCGUUUCUGGGGAGAACAGAGGACACUCGCAACUUUAAUACAGCAUCAACGCCAACCCCGCAUUGAUGAAAAUGUCAUAUGGAGCGAAUGCGCGUCAAGUGUGUCUAUUUAUUG